RNAcentral lists this ribosomal RNA (1235 nucleotides) under metagenome. Its description in RNAcentral is "bacterial LSU rRNA". It matches the Rfam family "Bacterial large subunit ribosomal RNA", at positions 1564 to 2808 of the family's 2925-position model. The record is from RNAcentral.
UGAGUACGAGAUGCUACGGCAUCGAAGCAGUCUAUGUCAUACUUCCAAGAAAAGCUUGCACUGUCAUAAACAAAGAAUGCCUGUACCAUAACCGACACAGGUGGGUAGGUAGAGUAUACUAAGGGGCGCGAGAUAACUCUCUCUAAGGAACUCGGCAAAAUGACUCCGUAACUUCGGGAGAAGGAGUGCCUUAUUUCUAAGGUUGCAAUAACAAGAUCCAAGCAACUGUUUACCAAAAACACAGGUAUCCGCUAAGUCGUAAGACGAUGUAUGGGGGCUGACGCCUGCCCAGUGCCAGAAGGUUAAAGAAGUUGGUUAGCAUUAGCGAAGCUGAUAACUGAAGCCCUGGUGAACGGCGGCCGUAACCAUAACGGUCCUAAGGUAGCGAAAUUCCUUGUCGGGUAAGUUCCGACCCGCACGAAAGGCGUAAUGAUUUGGAUACUGUCUCGGAGAGGGGCUCGGUGAAAUAGACUUGUCUGUGAAGAUGCGGACUACCUGCACCUGGACAGAAGGACCCUAUGAAGCUUUACUGUAACUUGAGAUUGAAAUUGGACUUUAUUUGCGCAGUAUAGGUGGGAGGCGUUGAGAAUAAUCUUGCGGGAUUGUUGGAGCCAUCAGUGAGAUACCACUCUUGUAAUGUUAGAUUUCUAACUUUGUAUCAUUAUCUGGUCAAAGAACAGUUUCAGGCGGGCAGUUUGACUGGGGCGGUCGCCUCCCAAAGGGUAACGGAGGCGCACAAAGGUUUCCUCUGAACGGGUAGAAAUCGUAUCUAGAGUGUAAAGGCAUAAGGAAGCUUGACUGUGAGACCUACAAGUCGAGCAGGGACGAAAGUCGGUCUUAGUGAUCUGACGGUGCUGAGUGGAAAGGCCGUCACUCAACGGAUAAAAGUUACUCUAAGGAUAACAGGCUGAUCUCCCCCAAGAGUUCACAUCGACGGGGAGGUUUGGCACCUCGAUGUCGGCUCAUCGCAUCCUGGGGCGGUAGUCCGUCCCAAGGGUUGGGCUGUUCGCCCAUGAAAGCGGUACGCGAGCUGGGUUCAGAACGUCGUGAGACAGUUCGGUCCAUAUCCGGUGUAGGCGUUAGAAUAUUGAGAGGAGCCUUCUCUAGUACGAGAGGACCGAGAAUGACAUACCUCUGGUGUACCAGCUAUCGUGCCAACGGUAAACGCUGGGUAGCUAUGUAUGGAGUGGAUAACCGCUGAAAGCAUCUAAGUGGGAAGCCCACCUCAAGAUAAG